UGAUUGCAGUGCGCAAGGCAUCACAAGUAGCUCCCAGCAAGCUAUGGUGCUGAUCGCGAGAGACUGGCCAAGGGAAGAGCACGAAAGAAAGUGGUCUGCGAGGGCGCGGGAACAAAAAGCAAGCAUAUUUGACAAGACUUGGAGGAGUUGAUGACAUCGACAUGGUGAAAAAAACAAUGUCUGCAACUCUCUCAAAUGGAGUCAUGUCUCAAAUGAAUUUAAAGGGAAAAUGUGGGAAGCUCCCAUUUUCUCAGACCCAUCUCUUCCAGAUCAUAUUUGGC
This is a long non-coding RNA of Xyrauchen texanus (razorback sucker), 281 nucleotides long. RefSeq lists it as uncharacterized. The transcript has 4 exons. Lineage: Eukaryota; Metazoa; Chordata; Actinopteri; Cypriniformes; Catostomidae. The record is from RefSeq and is a predicted model, not a curated record.